Solea senegalensis (Senegalese sole) is the source of this 2676-nucleotide long non-coding RNA. RefSeq lists it as uncharacterized. The transcript is spliced from 3 exons. NCBI's taxonomy places the organism in Eukaryota, Metazoa, Chordata, Actinopteri, Pleuronectiformes, Soleidae. The record is from RefSeq and is a predicted model, not a curated record.
AUACACGAGACACACAAACUAGUGACUUGUAAAGCACCAAAAGUACCAGGUACUAUCGCUAAUGGAAACACAAAAUAGCUGUGCAGAGGCGAGGCGAGUCACACUGGGACCAUGUAGUGGAAUAGACCGUUAGUCUUCACAUGUCUAUUAAAAAGGCAGGUUUCUGUGAUAGAUGAAUCAUUUCUGAAUUUUUUCUAACCUAAGUAUGAACUAUACCCUCAUGUAAAUGUGAAACUCAAAUUGAAACCAUUUAGGUGAAAUAACAUAAUACAUACAGUACCCUCUAAUAAUUGAGGGUUUUUUUAAGCUUCUGAAGCACUGAUGAGUGAAAGAUAUGGAGUGGGAAAUCUCUGGGAUGACCUGAAGAGGACAGUGCAGAGGAGACACCCCCUACAAUCUGACAGCUGACAGACUGCAACCCAAAAAUAGACUGAGUGCUCUACUUAAAAUCAAAAGGUUACCUCAACACAGUUUUUUUUUUUCCCACCCAGGUUAUUAUCAGAUGUAUUUUCUUUUGUUCCUAAAUGGCUUCAGUUUGUUUCUCAUUUGGAUGUUUACAGGUUGUAGAUCACAUUAUAGAUUUUGAAAAUCACAAAAAUCUGCUACAUGGUUUGACAGGCUUGUUGUUUCGAGAGGAAUUACGCAGCCAACAUGUCUGUUGACAUCAAGUUGAGUAAUUCCAGCUAAUGAGGGUGCUGGGUCUGUUUCAGUGUGAUAUACUGGCAUUAUAAUAUGUAUUACUGGUGCUCUUCUAUCCUCAUGUCUGGACAAUGUUACCUUUUAGUGUUUAUGACUUGUUGCCUCCACCACAAGAGAUUUGGGUUCUACAGGCUUUUAUUGUUUUCCUCAACAUGCCAGAUUUCUUUUUGUUUAAUGACCCCCCUGUGAUAAGAAUUUACAGUUUAGAUUAAGUAAAAUAACAACAUAAAAAUUCCAGUGAACACAAGCAUUCCUGUAUGUUUGAGGAAGAGAAUCACUUUGCCUUUGCAGGUCUUCUACCGCUACAGCUGACAAAUUCUGGCAACGCUUUUUUAUUUUUGCAGAAUGGAAGGUCUCCUGUAGUUAGCCUGUCCAGAAGCACUGUACACUGUUACUUUGAGCUGAAUGUAAACACACUUUUAAUGCCUUUUAACACGUUAAGUUGCUAUUCAGCUUAAUUUUUACCUCCAGUACAGAUGCAGCCUCGUCACAGUCACAGAGACCAACAGUUUAUAUCACUGCCUUUUACUUGAGGAUGCAUUCAUGUCUUCUGUUUCUCGUGUGUGCUCAUUGUGCACAGACACUAGUCACACAGCUGUCUGUGUCAUGGUGUUAAACCCAGACUCAUGAGUGAAACAGCUUCUGAGAUGUUUUUAAAUGAUAUGUUUGACCUGUUCGUGGUACAUCCUAAACAAUUUGCACCCUAAACACCUUAUCCGAUGUAGAUGCCCAUUAUAGAAAUAGAAAAUUGAACACAUGGAGAGGAGUCUCUUGCAUUUUAAAUACUUGAUGUUUUCAAUUGACCGAUGAAACUGUUAUUGAACCAAAUGAUUUUUGUCUCGACAGAAGGUUCAAAAGUAAACCUGUUUUUCCUCAUAUGUUCUUCAUCAUAUGUUAUUUUCCCACAUUGAAACUGGGAUACAUUUUAAUGUUUCAUUAGGUUAUAUUCCGUAUUUUUUCUACAUAGGUGUUAGGUUUUAAUAUUCAUAUUCAUUAUGUUAGGCACAAGUGAUUUAUCUUGUUGCUCAUUCCAUUUUUUUAUUCCAUUUGGUUUCUUUGUUUAUAUUUAUUUAAAGCACCUGUUUACCACUACAUUCUUCAUAUUAUGCUAACUAGUAUUUAUUAUGUUGCAGAUUAUGUGGUCAUCUUAUUUUGCAUUUUUGUUUUUGGAAUAUUUUGCAAGCAUGUAGAGUAUGAUUUUCUUUCUUACAGCAACUUCAGAAGCAGCUUUUUUCAUUCUUAAAUUGAGGAUGUUGACAAUGUCUUACAGUAUUUAUUGUUAAUUAUCAUUUGGGGUUUUCUUGCUAGACUUUUUGCAGUUCUUACCAUGAGAGCUGUUUAUUGUGGAUAAAACUGAUGCAAAAACCAAUGGGAUUAGCGUUGUGCCUUUUAAGUACACUAUGUAUGUGUAUACAGUAUGCUGUAUAUUGUGUUUGUGCAAAAGGCUGAAAGUUGAUCCAUAAAGUUCACAUACUGUUAGAUCUCAAGAUUGUUUAUUUCUUUGCUUGACACUAACACAUAUUAUCUGACUCUGUCAGGUUUGUGAGCUGGGUCGGGAGACUAGCAUCGAUACUAUUGCUUCGGUCCAGCCUAGGAAGCUCCAGCGUGUAACUUCUGUCGCCCUGGCAAGGAAAUUAGUGAUGGUCUACAGGUGUGUGGAACUUCAUUCCAAGUUCUUUGUUGCUGAAGGAAAAAAGAGUGAGUACUGUAUUUCCUUGUUAAUGCAGUUAUAGGUAACGUAUAUGAAAAUUGUGAACCUGCUCACUAAUUCCACUAAUUAUUCAAUUACAUGCAGGUGCUUUAGCAGGAAGGUGUUUUACACACUUCAUAAAUAACAGGAUGUUCUCUGUUAAUGUAGCACAGUGUAAAUGUAUAAAGGGUCUUGUGUCACACUCAUUUAAAAUGCUGUAAUAGUGUAAAGGGAGGAAAAUGUAAUUACAGUCAUUUAUUUGGUCACUCCUUGAUCAUGUUUUUGUU